AAGCAAGACCGCGAGGUGGAGCAAAUCCCUAAAAGCCAUCCCAGUUCGGAUUGCAGGCUGCAACCCGCCUGUAUGAAGUUGGAAUCGCUAGUAAUCGCGGAUCAGCAUGCCGCGGUGAAUACGUUCCCGGGCCUUGUACACACCGCCCGUCACACCAUGAGAGUCGGGAACACCCGAAGUCCGUAGCCUAACCGCAAGGGGGGCGCGGCCGAAGGUGGGUUCGAUAAUUGGGGUGAAGUCGUAACAAGGUACC
Molecule: ribosomal RNA, 253 nt
Filed under: uncultured bacterium
Lineage: Bacteria
Description: partial 16S ribosomal RNA
Rfam family: Bacterial small subunit ribosomal RNA
Source: RNAcentral